GGCGCAGUGGCAGAGUGGUCUAAUGCGAUAGACUAGAACAUCUUUGGACUUGACCAGAGAUCUCUAGCGUAUCUAUUCCCUUCGGGGGCGUCUGUUCGAAUCAGGCCUGCGUCG
This 114-nucleotide transfer RNA is filed under the name Hypoxylon sp. EC38. Its description in RNAcentral is "tRNA-Ser". It matches the Rfam family "tRNA". From Rfam's summary of the family: Transfer RNA (tRNA) molecules are approximately 80 nucleotides in length. Their secondary structure includes four short double-helical elements and three loops (D, anti-codon, and T loops). Further hydrogen bonds mediate the characteristic L-shaped molecular structure. tRNAs have two regions of fundamental functional importance: the anti-codon, which is responsible for specific mRNA codon recognition, and the 3' end, to which the tRNAs corresponding amino acid is attached (by aminoacyl-tRNA synthetases). tRNAs cope with the degeneracy of the genetic code in two manners: having more than one tRNA (with a specific anti-codon) for a particular amino acid; and 'wobble' base-pairing, i.e. permitting non-standard base-pairing at the 3rd anti-codon position. Lineage: Eukaryota; Fungi; Ascomycota; Sordariomycetes; Xylariales; Hypoxylaceae. The record is from RNAcentral.